UCAAGCUACAUAGGGCACAUGAAGGAUGCCUUGGCAUCAGCAGGCGAAGAAGGACGUGGCAAGCUGCGAUAAGCCUCGGGGAGCUGCAUACAAGCUUUAAUCCGGGGAUUUCCGAAUGGAGCAAUCCAGCAGAAGUAAUGUUCUGUUAUCUGCAACUGAAUACAUAGGUUGCAGAGGCGAUACUCAGUGAAGUGAAACAUCUCAGUAACUGAAGGAAUAGAAAUCAACCGAGAUUCCGCAAGUAGUGGCGAACGAACGCGGAAUAGCCUAAACCGGCAGGUUUACCUGUCGGGGUUGCGGGACUUAGACAUGACAUGCGGCCGGUUAGCACAACCGUCUGGGAAGUCGGGCCAUAGAGGGUGACAGCCCCCUGUGCGAAAACUGAAAGCAGUCUAUAAGUAUCCCAAGUAGGUCGGCACACGUGAAACUCCGACUGAAUCCGGGGAGACCACUCUCCAAGGCUAAAUACUAGCUGAUGACCGAUAGUGAAACAGUACCGCGAGGGAAAGGUGAAAAAGUACCCCUUUUAGGGGAGUGAAAAGUAUCUGAAAUCAUGUGCCUGCAAAGUGUGGGAGCCCUUCUGGGGUGACCGCAUGCCUUUUGCAUAAUGAGCUUGCGACUUACUUUAAGCAGCCAGGUUAAGCCAUAGGCGGAGCCGAAGCGAAAGCGAGUGUUAAUAGCGCGUCAAGUUGCUUGAAGUAGACCCGAAGCUGAGUGAUCUAUCCAUGGUCAGGUUGAACCUCCGGUAACACGGAGUGGAGGACCGAACCGGUGAGCGUUGAAAAGCUUUCGGAUGAACUGUGGAUAGGAGCGAAAGACCAAUCAAACUCAGUGAUAGCUGGUUCUCUUCGAAAUAUCUUGAGGGAUAGCCUUACGCCAUUGACUUACGGGGGUAGAGCACUGAUUGUCCGCGGGUCCUUACCGGGAUACCAACGACUGUCAAACUUCGAAUACCGUUAAGUUUUACCGUAGGAGUCAGACUGUGGGGGAUAAGCUUCAUAGUCGAGAGGGAAACAACCCAGAUCGCCGUCUAAGGUCCCUAAUUUAAGCUAAGUGGUUUGAAGGAUGUGAAGUUGCGUAAACAACCAGGAUGUUGGCUUAGAGGCAGCCAUCAUUUAAAGAUCGCGUAAUAGCGCACUGGUCGAGUGAUUUUGCGCCGAAGAUGAUCGGGACUAAGCUUAAAACCGAAGACGCGGAUGUACAGCAAUGUACGUGGUAGAAGAGCGUUGUAUGAGGAGCGAAGCGUGAAUGAGAAUGAGCGUGGACUUCAUACAAGUGACCAUGCAAGCAUGAGUAGCGAAAAACCGGAUGGAAAUUCCGGUCACCGUAAGACCAAGGUUUCCCGGGGAAGGUUCGUCCGCCCGGGGUUAGCCGGAUCCUAAGGCCAGGCCGAAAGGCGUAGUCGAUGGACAACGGGUUAAUAUUCCCGUGCCGCCUUAACGGAGUGACGGAGUGACGCAGUAUGCUAAGCGAGCUGGCUAUAUGCCAGUCUAAUGUCGUAGGACGUCAGGGGUUAAAUGACCUGACAUCAAGUCUGAAAACGGAUGGGACUCGAAGCCUUCGGGUAACGGGGAUUCGCUGAUGCUUUGCUGACGAGAAAAGCUCCUAAACGUUGAUGUUUUGGCGUCCGUACCGUAAACCGACACAGGUGGUCGAGGCGAGUAGCCUAAGGUGCGCGAGUGAAACCACUUCAAGGAACUCGGCAAAUUAGCCCCGUAACUUUGGGAGAAGGGGUGCCGAACGGGUGCAUAGCCCGGACGGUUUCAACAAAGAGGCCGCGGCGACUGUUUAACAAAAACAUAGCUCUCUGCUAACUCGCAAGAGGAUGUAUAGGGAGUGACACGUGACCAAUGCCGAAAGGUCAAUCGGAUCCGUUAGCAGAAAUGCGAAGCGGUGAUGUGAAGCCCCGGUGAAUGUCGGCCGUAACUAUAACGGUCCUAAGGUAGCGAAAUUCCUUGUCGGGUAAGUUCCGACCUGCACGAAUCGUGUAACGAUCGCGGCACUGUCUCGAAGUGGAGCUCGGCGAAGUUGUAAUUCCGGUGAAAAUGCCGGAUACCUGCAGUAGGACGGAAAGACCCUGUGAACCUUUACUGUAAUCUGAUAUUGGCAUUCGGGUG
This 2117-nucleotide ribosomal RNA is filed under the name human gut metagenome. RNAcentral describes it as "bacterial LSU rRNA". It matches the Rfam family "Bacterial large subunit ribosomal RNA", at positions 3 to 2130 of the family's 2925-position model. The record is from RNAcentral.